AGUUAUUGAACUUGUUAUAAGUAUAUAUUUUGAAAAUAUAAAAAAGAAGAAUAAACUUCUAAUAACUU
This 68-nucleotide transfer RNA is filed under the name Staphylinidae sp. BMNH 1274669. RNAcentral's name for it is "tRNA-Ser". The record is from RNAcentral. Lineage: Eukaryota; Metazoa; Arthropoda; Insecta; Coleoptera; Staphylinidae.